RNAcentral lists this ribosomal RNA (385 nucleotides) under uncultured bacterium. RNAcentral's name for it is "bacterial SSU rRNA". It matches the Rfam family "Bacterial small subunit ribosomal RNA", at positions 30 to 417 of the family's 1533-position model. The record is from RNAcentral.
AUUGAACGCUGGCGGCAUGCCUUACACAUGCAAGUCGAACGGCAGCACGGGGCAACCUGGUGGCGAGUGGCGAACGGGUGAGUAAUGCAUCGGAACGUGCCAUUGAGUGGGGGAUAACGUAGCGAAAGUUGCGCUAAUACCGCAUAUUCUGUGAGCAGGAAAGCAGGGGACCGCAAGGCCUUGCGCUCUUUGAGCGGCCGAUGUCAGAUUAGCUAGUUGGUGAGGUAACGGCUUACCAAGGCGACGAUCUGUAGCGGGUCGGAGAGGAUGAUCCGCCACACUGGAACUGAGACACGGUCCAGACUCCUACGGGAGGCAGCAGUGGGGAAUUUUGGACAAUGGGCGCAAGCCUGAUCCAGCCAUGCCGCGUGAGUGAAGAAGGCCU